GACGUAGGGCGCGAGCGUUGUCCGGAUUUAUUGGGCGUAAAGAGCUCGUAGGCGGCUUGUCGCGUCGAAUGUGAAAACCUGCAGCUCAACUGCAGGCUUGCAUUCGAUACGGGCAGGCUCGAGUUCGGUAGGGGAGACUGGAAUUCCUGGUGUAGCGGUGAAAUGCGCAGAGAUCCGGAGGAACACCAACGGCGUAGGCAGCGCCCUAGACGAGACCUGACGCUCAGGCACGAAAGCGCAGGGAGCGAACAGG
This 253-nucleotide ribosomal RNA is filed under the name uncultured bacterium. RNAcentral describes it as "partial 16S ribosomal RNA". It matches the Rfam family "Bacterial small subunit ribosomal RNA", at positions 524 to 776 of the family's 1533-position model. The record is from RNAcentral.